Molecule: long non-coding RNA, 1014 nt
Organism: Eupeodes corollae
Lineage: Eukaryota; Metazoa; Arthropoda; Insecta; Diptera; Syrphidae
Exons: 2
Source: RefSeq, a predicted model, not a curated record
CUAUAAACUGCCCCUAAGAAAUAAUUACUAUAGCAAAACUGAAGUGAGAAGCUUCUGGUUAUUUAAUACUCCCAAUUUAAUGAAGUAAACUUAUUGAUUUUUACUUCAUCACUUUUAUUGAUGAACUUUAAUAAUAGCUAUUACUGGCCUUUAAAGCUCAGAGCAGAGCUGUCAAAAUCAAUUAAAAAUUCAUGUUAGACUGAUAUACAUUUACAUAUGCAGAAAAAGUGUAAUUUUUGAUUUAUACUCAGAGCAGAUACUGAAGACUUCAAGGACGCUCUGAGCAGAGUUAGAUUAGACCCUCCCGAUAUAUUUAUAAAAGACACUGCAGAAUUUUACUAUCAAUGGUUUAAGAAUUUCCUACUUGUCUCUUUAUACCACACGAUACAAACAAAAGUCAGCUACGUUCGGCUUUUUACUAUAUUAGCUCGGCCAUUCUUAAAGUAAAUCAUAGAAAGCGUUUCAAGCUCGUUUUGAUUUAAAAAAGAAACAAAAACUGUAUCAGUUGAAAAAAUGACGCCAGAGUUUUUUUGACAGCUCAGUUCUCUGCUGUGAGCUUGAAAAGAAAAAUGCCUAUUGUGUCCUUGAUUAGAUGAGAAAACCAACAACAACAAAAUAAUGAGGUGAAUUAUUUUUGUUUUGACUGCCAAAUAUUUGUUCAGUUCUUUAAUCCCACCAUUUUUGUUAUAAUUUUUUUCGAUGAAAACAUUGUCACCAUGACGUGGUCCCAGCUGAGGUAUCGUGGAAUAGAGAGAAAUGGAAGAAACUGGUUGCACCCUAUGCUCCGGGAGGAGCUAAAGUGCUGUCACUAGCAGACGGAAACGAAGAAGAAGAAGAAGUCACCAUGAAAUGUUAUAUAUAUAUGUUAUUAAACAAACCAAUAUAUAUAUACCAAAAGAACACCAACAUUUAAUAAAAAGUUAUAACGAUUAUAGCGACAAGUCACUUCCAAAGCAAAUAAAACAUAAAUUUUGACAUUUAUUACAAAAUAAAAACGUCAAAAAAAACUCUGAA